Molecule: long non-coding RNA, 202 nt
Filed under: Lathyrus oleraceus (garden pea)
Lineage: Eukaryota; Viridiplantae; Streptophyta; Magnoliopsida; Fabales; Fabaceae
Description: Pisum sativum (pea) long non-coding RNA (PSAT_LNC019771)
Source: RNAcentral
AAAAAUCCAUUUUAUUUUAUUUUAGUGAAGAGAUAAAAUAAAUGAAAGACAGGGAUCACAAAUUUGAGUGCGAAAUAUGGUGAUUUUCAUUAAUUGAUAAAAAAGGGAAAUUUAACGGAGGCCCUACAAAUGAUUCCCCCAUGCCUUGGGCAAAACAUGGGUUCUUUUAUUUUUUUAAGGGACAAAUAAAGCAAAGAAAUUA